RNAcentral lists this ribosomal RNA (866 nucleotides) under uncultured bacterium. RNAcentral's name for it is "bacterial SSU rRNA". It matches the Rfam family "Bacterial small subunit ribosomal RNA", at positions 524 to 1381 of the family's 1533-position model. The record is from RNAcentral.
UACGAGAGGUGCAAGCGUUAUUCGGAUUAAUUGGGUGUAAAGGGUGUGCAGACGGUUUAUUAAGUCAUUUGUUAAAUUCUUCGGCCUAACUGAAGGUAUGCAAGUGAUACUGGUAAACUAGAGGGUGGAAGAGAGAAGUGGAAUUCUCGGAGUAGCGGUAAAAUGCGUAGAUCUCGAGAGGAACACCAAUGGCGAAGGCAGCUUCUUGGUCCAUUUCUGACGUUCAAACACGAAAGCGUGGGGAGCAAACAGGAUUAGAUACCCUGGUAGUCCACGCUGUAAACGAUGAUCACUAGACGUUAAUUUUGUUUAACAGAAUUAGUGUCGUAGCUAACGCGUUAAGUGAUCCACCUGGGGAUUACGGUCGCAAGACUAAAACUCAAAGGAAUUGACGGGGGCCCGCACAAGCGGUGGAACAUGUGGUUUAAUUCGACACUACGCGAGGAACCUUACCUAGGCUUGACAUGCAUUUGACCGUCGUAGAAAUACGGCUUUUCUGGCUUCGGUUAGAACAAUUGCACAGGUGCUGCACGGCUGUCGUCAGCUCGUGUCGUGAGAUGUUGGGUUAAGUCCUCUAACGAGCGCAACCCUUGCCAUUAGUUGCUACUUGCGUAAGCAAGGCACUCUAAUGGGACUGCCUGGGAAACCAGGAGGAAGGUGGGGAUGAUGUCAAGUCCUCAUGGCCUUUAUGCCUAGGGCAACACACGUGUUACAAUGGUUGGUACAAAGAGAAGCAAGCUUGUAAAAGUAAGCAAACCUCGUAAAGCCAAUCUAAGUUCAGAUUGAGGUCUGCAACUCGACCUCAUGAAGUUGAAAUCGCUAGUAAUCGCGUAUCAGAACGACGCGGUGAAUACGUUCUCGGGCCU